Long non-coding RNA from Mus musculus (house mouse), 409 nucleotides. RefSeq annotates it as predicted gene, 36517. The transcript is spliced from 3 exons. The record is from RefSeq and is a predicted model, not a curated record. NCBI's taxonomy places the organism in Eukaryota, Metazoa, Chordata, Mammalia, Rodentia, Muridae.
UAAAAUCAUUUAAGAUGUGUUAUUACUGAGAGAAUUAAUACAAGCCCACACAGGAAAGGUGCUGCAGUUUUGCAAUGGCAAAGUUUAAUUGCAAAUGCUCAUUUCUAGCUAAACACCAGGUGAAGACUGAUCAAUCCUGGUCCCUACAAACUGCAGAUGAGAUUGGAAUUCAGAUACAAUAAGGUCUCUGAGAACCCAAGAUGACCCUGAGUGAGCUCCUGAUCCUCCUGCGUCUGGCUCCUCAGAGCUGGGAUUACGAGUCCGUGGCAGCACACUUGGUUUUAUUCAUGCUGAGGUGGAACCCAGUGCUAUGUACUGGCUGACUAUUCUACCUAACACAGGCACACCCUCGUGAAUUUAUGGUUUGACUUAAGUACCAGAAAAGAGUCAGAAGUUACACUACUGUAUU